Molecule: long non-coding RNA, 931 nt
Filed under: Elaeis guineensis (African oil palm)
Lineage: Eukaryota; Viridiplantae; Streptophyta; Magnoliopsida; Arecales; Arecaceae
Description: long non-coding RNA (EGUI_LNC028216)
Source: RNAcentral
UGAUACAGAGAAACAUGGCGAAAAGGAAUAACAGUUCUAAAGUAAUGUGCAAAGACAAAGGUAAAGUGUAAUUGUGUCAUGAAACUCUAAACUUGCAUGGCAUUUUUUGUAAGUGCAGUAAAAUCUAAGGAUGAUAGAAGUGACUAUUUAGUUAUUUCACAAUUUAAAACCCGUCAAAGUUUAUUAGUGUCCAUGCCCAUGGGCAUAUACAGGUGAAGUUCAGGUUAGAUCUAAGCAAAAUCCACAUCCAAAUCUGGUAAGAUAAUCAAGUCAGAUUCAGUUUUUAUUUCUCCUCAUGUCUUCUAUUUGAGUUCUAAUUCACAAUUGUAGAUUUAAUAAUUUUAUAAUAACUGUUGGAAGAUUGUUAGAAUUGUUGGGAAAUUCAGUGCAGGGGUAAAAUGAUAAUUUUAAAACUUUUCAAAAUCACUAUUUUACAGUGAAAAUUAUUAAUUAAUCUAAUUAAUUAAUAAGAAUUUAUCCUACACUAGGAUCUAAAUAUGAUAUAUAGCAUGCAUGUAUUUAAAUUUGAAAUUUGAAUUUGAACAGUAAACAGUUUACUGUAAUGUGUUCAGAACACAAUACCUUUGUGCGGGUAGUAGAUCGCCGCAAUCUGAUCACCGUCGGGAGAGUCUGAUCGUCGCGAUGCAGCCACACGGUGUGUCUGCCUCUGCGGAUCGUCCAUAUGAAGCUUCCGGUCUGAUCGACUCCUCACGAGUGCUAGCUUGUUGUAGAGCCCUUUCGACGGCCGAUGCUGAUCGAACUCCUUCGAUCGAUGUCUGUCGAUUCUUCGGACGCUUCGAAUCGUCAGCAGACGUGCUUGAGAGGAUGUUGAAGAUCUCCCUGAAAUUUGGUGGGCUCACGACACUCGUAGCUCACCUUCUCACUUCCCGAACUCCAGACUGAAAUCCUGAAGAACUCACUGAAAUCCUGC